UUGUCAUUCUCAUGCGUAUAGGGUUGUCAUUGUGGUGAUCGCCAGUCACCACAUGAUCGGAUUCGUUGAGGUCAGGCUUCGUCUCCGGUUAUCUCCUCAUCAAGCUAGUCACGGUCCUUGUGCCGCCCCUUGCCGGGGCGGCUUUUUAUU
RNAcentral lists this small RNA (150 nucleotides) under Kushneria sinocarnis. Its description in RNAcentral is "PrrF RNA". The record is from RNAcentral. Lineage: Bacteria; Pseudomonadati; Pseudomonadota; Gammaproteobacteria; Oceanospirillales; Halomonadaceae.